CCCUUCUUUUUCCCCUUUUUUCUCUUUUUUCUUUUCCUCUUCCUCCCGCC
Molecule: non-coding RNA, 50 nt
Filed under: Geminigera cryophila
Lineage: Eukaryota; Cryptophyceae; Pyrenomonadales; Geminigeraceae
Source: RNAcentral